This 532-nucleotide ribosomal RNA is filed under the name uncultured bacterium. RNAcentral's name for it is "bacterial SSU rRNA". It matches the Rfam family "Bacterial small subunit ribosomal RNA", at positions 777 to 1305 of the family's 1533-position model. The record is from RNAcentral.
AAUAGAUACCCUGGUAGUCCACGCCGUAAACGAUGAGUGCUAAGUGUUAGAGGGUUUCCGCCCUUUAGUGCUGCAGCUAACGCAUUAAGCACUCCGCCUGGGGAGUACGGUCGCAAGACUGAAACUCAAAGGAAUUGACGGGGGCCCGCACAAGCGGUGGAGCAUGUGGUUUAAUUCGAAGCAACGCGAAGAACCUUACCAGGUCUUGACAUCCCACUGACCGGUAUAGAGAUAUACCUUUCCCUUCGGGGGACAGUGGUGACAGGUGGUGCAUGGUUGUCGUCAGCUCGUGUCGUGAGAUGUUGGGUUAAGUCCCGCAACGAGCGCAACCCUUGAUCUUAGUUGCCAGCAUUUAGUUGGGCACUCUAAGGUGACUGCCGGUGACAAACCGGAGGAAGGUGGGGAUGACGUCAAAUCAUCAUGCCCCUUAUGACCUGGGCUACACACGUGCUACAAUGGAUGGUACAAAGGGCUGCAAGACUGCGAAGUCAAGCCAAUCCCAUAAAACCGAUUCUCAGUUCGGAUUGCAGGU